RNAcentral lists this ribosomal RNA (353 nucleotides) under uncultured Pseudomonas sp. RNAcentral's name for it is "bacterial SSU rRNA". It matches the Rfam family "Bacterial small subunit ribosomal RNA", at positions 1028 to 1382 of the family's 1533-position model. Lineage: Bacteria; Pseudomonadati; Pseudomonadota; Gammaproteobacteria; Pseudomonadales; Pseudomonadaceae. The record is from RNAcentral.
UCUGACACAGGUGCUGCAUGGCUGUCGUCAGCUCAUGUCGUGAGAUGUUGGGUUAAGUCCGUAACGAGCGCAACCUGUCCUUAGUUACCAGCACGUUAUGGUGGGCACUCUAAGGAGACUGCCGGUGACAAACCGGAGGAAGGUGGGGAGUGACGUCAAGUCAUCAUGGCCCUUACGGCCUGGGCUACACACGUGCUACAAUGGUCGGUACAAAGGGUUGCCAAGCCGCGAGGUGGAGCUAAUCCCAUAAAACCGAUCGUAGUCCGGAUCGCAGUCUGCAACUCGACUGCGUGAAGUCGGAAUCGCUAGUAAUCGUGAAUCAGAAUGUCACGGUGAAUACGUUCCCGGGCCUU